Molecule: ribosomal RNA, 253 nt
Filed under: uncultured bacterium
Lineage: Bacteria
Description: partial 16S ribosomal RNA
Rfam family: Bacterial small subunit ribosomal RNA
Source: RNAcentral
UACGAAGGGGGCUAGCGUUGCUCGGAAUUACUGGGCGUAAAGCGCACGUAGGCGGCUUUCUAAGUCGGGGGUGAAAUCCUGGAGCUCAACUCCAGAACUGCCUUCGAUACUGGAGAGCUUGAGUCCGGGAGAGGUGAGUGGAACUGCGAGUGUAGAGGUGAAAUUCGUAGAUAUUCGCAAGAACACCAGUGGCGAAGGCGGCUCACUGGCCCGGAACUGACGCUGAGGUGCGAAAGCGUGGGGAGCAAACAGG